GACGAACGCUGGCGGCGUGCUUAACACAUGCAGGUCGAACGGUAAGGCCCUUCGGGGUACACGAGUGGCGAACGGGUGAGUAACACGUGGGUGAUCUGCCCUGCACUUCGGGAUAAGCCUGGGAAACUGGGUCUAAUACCGGAUAGGACACUGCCUGCAUGGGUGGUGGUGGAAAGCUUUUGCGGUGUGGGAUGGGCCCGCGGCCUAUCAGCUUGUUGGUGGGGUGAUGGCCUACCAAGGCGACGACGGGGAGCCGGCCUGAGAGGGUGGCCGGCCACACGGGGACUGAGAUACGGCCCAGACUCCUACGGGAGGCAGCAGUGGGGAAUAUUGCACAAUGGGCGCAAGCCUGAUGCAGCGACGCCGCGUGAGGGAUGACGGCCUUCGGGUUGUAAACCUCUUUCAGCACCGACGAAGCGCAAGUGACGGUAGGUGCAGAGGAAGGACCGGCCAACUACGUGCCAGCCGCCGCGGUAA
RNAcentral lists this ribosomal RNA (477 nucleotides) under uncultured bacterium. RNAcentral's name for it is "partial 16S ribosomal RNA". It matches the Rfam family "Bacterial small subunit ribosomal RNA", at positions 28 to 523 of the family's 1533-position model. The record is from RNAcentral.